This 471-nucleotide ribosomal RNA is filed under the name uncultured Glomus. Its description in RNAcentral is "partial 18S ribosomal RNA". The record is from RNAcentral. Lineage: Eukaryota; Fungi; Glomeromycota; Glomeromycetes; Glomerales; Glomeraceae.
AAAAAUUAACUUCAUCCGAUCCCUAGUCGGCAUAGUUUAUGGUUAAGACUACGACGGUAUCUGAUCGUCUUCGAUCCCCUAACUUUCGUUCUUGAUUAAUGAAAACAUCCUUGGCAAAUGCUUUCGCAGUAGUUAGUCUUCAAUAAAUCCAAGAAUUUCACCUCUGACAAUUGAAUACUAAUGCCCCCAACUAUCCCUAUUAAUCAUUACGUCGAUCCUAGAAACCAACAAAAUAGAAUCGAUCGUCCUAUUUCGUUAUUCCAUGCUAAUGUAUUCAAGCGUAAGCCUGCUUUAAGCACUCUAAUUUUUUCAAAGUAACAGUCCUGUUUCCCCGCAACACCAAAUUAAUGGCAUCACGGUUCUUCAAGAGGGAGGGACCAGUGAGACCAGUGCAUACCAGUGGCACGACCGACCUACUGGCCCCGAAAUUCAACUACGAGCUUUUUAACUGCAACAACUUUAAUAUACGCU